GGGCGUUUAGCUCAGCUGGUUCAGAGCAUCUGCCUUACAAGCAGAGGGUCGGCGGUUCGAACCCGUCAACGCCCA
Molecule: transfer RNA, 75 nt
Organism: Bacteroides graminisolvens
Lineage: Bacteria; Pseudomonadati; Bacteroidota; Bacteroidia; Bacteroidales; Bacteroidaceae
Rfam family: tRNA
About the family: Transfer RNA (tRNA) molecules are approximately 80 nucleotides in length. Their secondary structure includes four short double-helical elements and three loops (D, anti-codon, and T loops).
Source: Rfam